GACGGGCCUCCCUGCAUGGUGAAGCGGCCAACCGGGUCAGGUGGGGAACCAAGCAGCCCUAACUGUGGAGUCAGUGCCAGGAUCCAGGUCCGUCAAC
Molecule: signal recognition particle RNA, 97 nt
Filed under: Curvibacter sp.
Lineage: Bacteria; Pseudomonadati; Pseudomonadota; Betaproteobacteria; Burkholderiales; Comamonadaceae
Description: signal recognition particle sRNA small type
Rfam family: Bacterial small signal recognition particle RNA
About the family: The signal recognition particle (SRP) is a universally conserved ribonucleoprotein involved in the co-translational targeting of proteins to membranes. Archaeal SRP consists of a 7S RNA and homologues of the eukaryotic SRP19 and SRP54 proteins. In most bacteria, the SRP consists of a 4.5S RNA and the Ffh protein (a homologue of the eukaryotic SRP54 protein).
Source: RNAcentral